This is a non-coding RNA of Pimephales promelas (fathead minnow), 1211 nucleotides long. The record is from RefSeq and is a predicted model, not a curated record. NCBI's taxonomy places the organism in Eukaryota, Metazoa, Chordata, Actinopteri, Cypriniformes, Leuciscidae.
UACAGUCAGGGCAUUAUGAUGUGGAGUAGUGACAGCAAUGCACUACCCACUGGACUUUGGGUUUCCACUAUGACAAUCACCUCCCUAUCCUAUAUAAAUACAGAUGUGAAACCACAACCUUCACACUUGUUCUUCAGACAGGACAGCGUCAAUCAAAACACACAGACACAGACUAAAACUGAACACCAUGAAGGUUCUUGUGGUUCUUGCACUUGCUGUAUUUACAGGUUGCCAGGCCAACCUAUUCUCUGCUGAUGAGCCCAAGCCACAGCUGGAGCAGCUGACUGAUGCAUUCUGGAGCUAUGUGUCAAAGGCAACACAAACCGCAGAGGAAACCGUCAAGAUGAUCAGGUCUUCCCAACUGGGACAGGACGUCAAUGCUAGACUGACCCAGAGUGCCGAUGUGGCCAGCGAAUAUGCCAUCACCCUCAAGAAACAGGUGGAUCCUCUGGCUGAAGAGCUGAUGACCAGAAUCACCAAAGAGACUGAAGUGUUGAGGGAGCGUUUGGGCCAGGACCUGAUCACUGUGAGAGACCAGCUGGAGCCCUAUGCCGACAACCUCAAGAGCCAGAUCCAGCAGAGAGUGGAGGAGCUCAGGACCGCCAUGACUCCAUAUGCAGAAUCCCUGGAUUCUGAGACCCUGAAAGCCACUCUGCUCCAGAAGAGUGAGGAGCUGAGAGGAAACCUGGAGCAGAGCGUGAAGGAGCUGCAGGCUCAGCUGGAGCCCUACACUGCUGAAAUCAAGGAGAAGGUUGACCAGCGUCUGCAGGAGUUCCAGAAGACCGUGACCCCUCUGGCUGAGGAUCUUCAGGCCCAGAUUAGAGAGAGAGCCCAGAUGGUCCAGCAGAGUCUCACACCCUACGCUGAAGACCUGAAGGAAAAGCUGGACCCCUACGCACAGGACCUGAAGGACCAGCUCACCUCCCUGUACGAGUCCUUCAUUAAGAGAAGUUAGAUCCUACCAACAGACUUUUGCCGAUUGCUGCUAAUGUAAUUAGAUCUUAGAUACAGUUAAAUGUGAAAGUGUGUUCUUCACUUUCUGUGGUCGACAUUAACAAACGCUGCUGACAGUAUACAUUGACCUGAUGGAAGUAUUCACAACCAUGAAACAAAACACAAAGGUCCAAUGAAAAAUGUGUAUCUACAUUUGAACAAUGAUUUCUAUGUUUGAAAUUAAUUUGUUUAAAUGAAUUAAAAAUUUUGUUCUAGGA